This 430-nucleotide ribosomal RNA is filed under the name uncultured bacterium. Its description in RNAcentral is "bacterial SSU rRNA". It matches the Rfam family "Bacterial small subunit ribosomal RNA", at positions 917 to 1350 of the family's 1533-position model. The record is from RNAcentral.
GGGCCCGCACAAGCGGUGGAGCAUGUGGUUUAAUUCGAUGAUACGCGAGGAACCUUACCAGGGUUUAAAUGCAGAACGACAGGGGUGGAAACACCCCCUUCUUCGGACGGACUGCAAGGUGCUGCAUGGUUGUCGUCAGCUCGUGCUGUGAAGUGUCGGGUUAAGUCCCAUAACGAGCGCAACCCCCAUUUCUAGUUGCCAGCGGUUCGGCCGGGGACUCUAGAGAGACUGCCGGUGUCAAACCGGAGGAAGGUGGGGAUGACGUCAAGUCCUCAUGGCCUUUAUGUCUAGGGCUGCACACGUCCUACAAUGGUACGGACAAACGGACGCAAUACCGCGAGGUGGAGCAAAUCCUAGAAACCGUGCCUCAGUUCGGAUUGCAGGCUGCAACUCGCCUGCAUGAAGCCGGAAUCGCUAGUAAUCGCAGGUC